Ceratotherium simum simum (southern white rhinoceros) is the source of this 536-nucleotide non-coding RNA. Lineage: Eukaryota; Metazoa; Chordata; Mammalia; Perissodactyla; Rhinocerotidae. The record is from RefSeq and is a predicted model, not a curated record.
UCAAAAGAUUAAGGGGAAAAAAGUUCUUUGUACUUGAAAACGGGGCAUACAUUUGUGUAACAGUUGUUCCCUAUGCCAAGCUAACUGAAUCAUAAGGGACCAAAUUAGUGACCAGAGUUUAGCUAAUAGCAUGCUUUAGCCAAUAAAUUUAUUAAUCCACAUGAGAACACUGAAUUAGUUGUAGGAAUCCAAUUAACAGUGCAGAAGAGAAAAAUCUUGUAUUCCCUUUUAGUUUUUACUCAUUUUAUGUAUCUUGUUCACAAGUUUGUGUUUCGGCUAAGAACUUAUAUUGUAGUAUCACAUGGUUUAAAAUAUACUCAGUAAUAUUGUAAGACAUACAAGACUUACAAUUUUGGUAGGUACCUAGGGCGUCAUGUUCUAAGGAGGAUAUUUUAGUACUGAUAAUUACUACAAUAUAUUGUCUAGGAUUUUCUGAAAGUAGGUCGCCUGCUCUUUACAUGAUAGGAGUCAGUGCAGGACAUGAUUGGAGAAUACUUGGUUAAAGAAUAUAAAUUCUGAGAAGUCUUAAUAAAGAA